UACGUAUGGGGCAAGCGUUAUCCGGAAUUAUUGGGCGUAAAGAGUGCGUAGGUGGUUACCUAAGCGCAAGGUUUAAUCUUGAGGCUCAACCUCAUUCUGCCUUGCGAACUGGGCUACUUGAGUGCAGGAGGGGAAGCGGAAUUCCCAGUGUAGCGGUGAAAUGCGUAGAUAUUGGGAAGAACACCGGUGGCGAAGGCGGCUUUCUGGACUGUAACUGACACUGAGGCACGAAAGCGUGGGGAGCAAACAGGAUUAGAUACCCCUGUAGUCCCU
RNAcentral lists this ribosomal RNA (273 nucleotides) under uncultured prokaryote. Its description in RNAcentral is "partial 16S ribosomal RNA". It matches the Rfam family "Bacterial small subunit ribosomal RNA", at positions 524 to 798 of the family's 1533-position model. The record is from RNAcentral.